Molecule: regulatory RNA element, 118 nt
Organism: Geobacter metallireducens GS-15
Lineage: Bacteria; Pseudomonadati; Thermodesulfobacteriota; Desulfuromonadia; Geobacterales; Geobacteraceae
Rfam family: Molybdenum/Tungsten riboswitch aptamer (Moco RNA motif)
Source: Rfam
ACAACCAACACUCUCCGAGCCUGCAAGCCUAACAGGGAAACCUCACGGCCCAGGGCCACCGGGUGCCGCCGGAAACGGCGGCGCCUCCCUUUCGGAAAGGAGAACCAUCAAUGAGAAA